GUGGGGAAUCUUGCGCAAUGGGCGAAAGCCUGACGCAGCCAUGCCGCGUGAAUGAUGAAGGUCUUAGGAUUGUAAAAUUCUUUCAUCGGGGACGAUAAUGACGGUACCCGGAGAAGAAGCCCCGGCUAACUUCGUGCCAGCAGCCGCGGUAAUACGAAGGGGGCUAGCGUUGCUCGGAAUUACUGGGCGUAAAGGGCGCGUAGGCGGACAGUUUAGUCAGAGGUGAAAGCCCAGGGCUCAACCUUGGAAUUGCCUUUGAUACUGGCUGUCUUGAGUACGGGAGAGGUGAGUGGAACUCCGAGUGUAGAGGUGAAAUUCGUAGAUAUUCGGAAGAACACCAGUGGCGAAGGCGACUCACUGGCCCGUUACUGACGCUGAGGCGCGAAAGCGUGGGGAGCAAACAGGAUUAGAUACCCUGGUAGUCC
RNAcentral lists this ribosomal RNA (425 nucleotides) under uncultured bacterium. RNAcentral describes it as "partial 16S ribosomal RNA". It matches the Rfam family "Bacterial small subunit ribosomal RNA", at positions 354 to 796 of the family's 1533-position model. The record is from RNAcentral.